GGAAGAUGUUGACGCUUGUCUAAGAGCUGCUGGUGGUGUUUUCAGCCCUGCUCCUCGGCGCUUUAUAGAUGGUAAACGUUGAAAACCAACCCCGUCCACACAAGUGCAUCAUCACCUUUCUUGCAAAAUGGAAACCCAGCACCCCAUUUUCAUUGAAAAUGAACUUUGUUUCCCCGAAGUAGUCAUUGAAAAAGAAAAAGCAGUAUCCCAAAACAAUCAUAGUUGUGGUUUGUUGCUCUGUACGUUGAAGAAGGCACAAACUCCUCUCUAUCUGCUGGAUGUCAGGACAGCUCAGGCCUUAUUUCUUACUCAUAUUUUCACAUCAUCUCGCCCAGAAUUUCUCACAUUUCCCAUUGAGUUGGAUGCCUUGCUGCUCGGUGGCUUCAUACCUUUUGUUGCACAAGGUGGCAGUGGCUGUUUGGGGUUGGCAGGCUGACACAGUGAUGCCAGAUUCUUCCAUACUGCUCUGGAGACCAGAGGAGUUGUUAGCCGACCCAAUCUGCUGGAGCCUGAAUCCACUUGUUUGUAAUGAAUAUCCUGCAUGCUGCCCCCAAAGGAAAACCAAGAUAUACGUCAUCCUGGUUGUCUUAUGCAUGUGCUUUAGCUGUGGAGAAUAAGGACCAGAAUCGCCCACUCUGGGGCUCAUGGACCACAAGGGACCUCGGAGUGGGUUUCAGGGAGAUCACAAGCCUCCUAAAAUAGUGCACAUAGUGCUGUGGGUGGGUGGUCAUAGCUUCCACCAAAUUCCCAAGGAGGAUAACUGUUAUGAAGAAAAAUGGUCUGGAGUUCCCCUUGUGGCUCACUGGGUUCAGGGCCCGACCUAGUGUCCGUGAGGGUGCAAGUUCGAUUCCUGGCCUCGCUGAGGGGGAAAAGGAUCAGAAAUAGAUAUUGAUCAAAUCACAGAUUACUUGCCUGGGAGACAAGCCAGCAAGAGAGGUGAGAAUUCAAAGAAGGGAACCGAGGGGAGCAGAUACCACGACGGCAUGUUUAAUGGUUCAAGGAAAGGAGAAUGCAUUCUGGGAAGGAAUGUUAAAACUCAUAUUUUAAAGAGUUUUAAAAUGAAAAAUUUUGGAAACAUUAUCACAUUUUGAAAAGCCAAUAGUUUUCAUUUGUUUCUAAGCAGCAGGAACCAAGUGACCAAAGGUAUUGUGGUACAUCAGAUAAAUGGCCAGGACAAGGGCUCUACUUGAGAAUACCACUCCCCCCCCCCCAAAAAAAAAAAAGAUCUUUAUAAAUAUUUUCAAUACAAAAGUUUCUGGAACACAUCUACUUCAAAGAAAUCUCUGGAAGUACCAGAGGCAAAUUUAUCUCCUGUGAAAUCAUAAAUGUAUAAUUCCAAAGGUGUUGGCUUUAUGACACACUUUUUCAGUCUCUAUUUGGGGUCCUUCUCUAUCAUUUUUAAUUUUAAUUUUUUAAAAAAAAAUGGUACUAUAUUUUUUACCAGUUGGAAGGAUUAACUGCAGUUGGUUCCCAGGCUAGGGGUCCAAUCAGAGCUGUUGCUGCCAGCCUCCGCCAGAGCCACAGCAAUGCCAGAUCCGAGCCUCAUCUGUGACCUACAGCAUAGCUCACGGCAACACCAAUCCUUAACCCGCUGAAUGAGGCCAGGGAUCGAACCCGCAACCUCAUGGUUCCUAGUUGGAUUCGAUUCCACUGCGCCACGACAGGAACUCCUAUUUUGUGCUUUUUAUAUAAGCCAGUGAUACUCUGGAUCAUCAAUAUAUGUGUAAAGACAGGCUUAUAAAUAUAAGUUGAUAUAUAAAAUACAUCAAUAUAUACAAAUGUGUAAAUAGAUGGAGAAAGUGAUAGAUGAACAGCAGAAAUGUUGAACAGCCUAUUCAAAGAUUUGCAGAGAAGCUAAGGAAAAUAAAUGCACUUUCAACUUUAAAACAUGCUAAUUGACAAGUGAGAAAAUUCUGAGAUUUCCUUCCCGUGAAAUAAAGCAUAGGUGAGAAUGAGUGAGUGUUUUGGCCCCUGGCUAAGAAUGCUCUAGUGCGGCUUUAGAGGAGAGACGAUAGAUAAUAGGGCUUGUUUUAAAGACAGAGUUAUUAGGAGUGGAGAAAAGGACAUUCCUCUAUGGUUUGGGGGUUGAAGGAAGAGGUUUGAGCCAAAGCAAAUGGAUUGAAAAGCCCACUGUGAAAACAGGACAAGAGAGUUACAAAUACCUGUGUUAGAGAUACGUCUGGAAAGGGGACGUUGGGGAGUUCCCCUUGUGGCUCAGCGUGUUAAAGACCGAAUGUUGCCUCUGUAAUGAUGCCGGUUCAAUCCCUGCCCUCGCUCAGUGGCUUAAGGAUCCCGCAUUGCCGAGAGCUGACCCUUGGCCCAA
RNAcentral lists this long non-coding RNA (2323 nucleotides) under Sus scrofa (pig). Its description in RNAcentral is "lncRNA (ENSSSCG00050014844.1)". Lineage: Eukaryota; Metazoa; Chordata; Mammalia; Artiodactyla; Suidae. The record is from RNAcentral.